CAGUCGCCGCGGUAAUACGGAGGGUGCAAGCGUUACCCGGAUUUACUGGGCGUAAAGGGCGUGUAGGCGGCCUGGGGCGUCCCAUGUGAAAGGCCACGGCUCAACCGUGGAGGAGCGUGGGAUACGCUCAGGCUAGAGGGUGGGAGAGGGUGGUGGAAUUCCCGGAGUAGCGGUGAAAUGCGCAGAUACCGGGAGGAACGCCGAUGGCGAAGGCAGCCACCUGGUCCACUUCUGACGCUGAGGCGCGAAAGCGUGGAGAGCAAACCGGAUUAGAUACCCGCGUAGUCCCUGUCUCUUAUAC
This 301-nucleotide ribosomal RNA is filed under the name uncultured bacterium. RNAcentral describes it as "partial 16S ribosomal RNA". It matches the Rfam family "Bacterial small subunit ribosomal RNA", at positions 509 to 807 of the family's 1533-position model. The record is from RNAcentral.